UACGUAGGGCGCAAGCGUUAUCCGGAAUUACUGGGCGUAAAGGGCGCGUAGGCGGCCUGUUAAGUCGAACGUGAAAUCCCCGGGCUCAACCCGGGAACUGCGUCCGAUACUGGCAGGCUUGAAUCCGGGAGAGGGAUGCGGAAUUCCAGGUGUAGCGGUGAAAUGCGUAGAUAUCUGGAGGAACACCGGUGGCGAAGGCGGCAUCCUGGACCGGCAUUGACGCUGAGGCGCGAAAGCCAGGGGAGCAAACGGG
RNAcentral lists this ribosomal RNA (253 nucleotides) under uncultured bacterium. RNAcentral describes it as "partial 16S ribosomal RNA". It matches the Rfam family "Bacterial small subunit ribosomal RNA", at positions 524 to 776 of the family's 1533-position model. The record is from RNAcentral.